CCUACGGGGGGCAGCAGUGGGGAAUAUUGGACAAUGGGGGGAACCCUGAUCCAGCGACGCCGCGUGAGUGAAGAAGUAUUUCGGUAUGUAAAGCUCUAUCAGCAGGGAAGAAAAUGACGGUACCUGACUAAGAAGCCCCGGCUAACUACGUGCCAGCAGCCGCGGUAAUACGUAGGGGGCAAGCGUUAUCCGGAUUUACUGGGUGUAAAGGGAGCGUAGACGGCAGCACAAGUCUGGAGUGAAAUGCCGGGGCUUAACCCCGGAACUGCUUUGGAAACUGUGCAGCUAGAGUGCAGGAGAGGUAAGUGGAAUUCCUAGUGUAGCGGUGAAAUGCGUAGAUAUUAGGAGGAACACCAGUGGCGAAGGCGGCUUACUGGACUGUAACUGACGUUGAGGCUCGAAAGCGUGGGGAGCAAACAGGAUUAGAUACCCGUGUAGUC
This 440-nucleotide ribosomal RNA is filed under the name uncultured bacterium. Its description in RNAcentral is "partial 16S ribosomal RNA". It matches the Rfam family "Bacterial small subunit ribosomal RNA", at positions 338 to 795 of the family's 1533-position model. The record is from RNAcentral.